CCAAGCUAGGAAAAAGAAUCAUCUUUAAAAGUAUGUCAUCAGCACUCAAGACCUUUAAUGAGCCAGCGGAAUUGGUCUCCUGGUCCUCUCCUCACUCCACAGAGACUGAAAACGUGUCUACCCAGUGUACAGCAAACUAUUUCUGUAGGCUGCCCGCAGUUGACAUCCUCCAUUCUGACCCUCGCCAAGCAUUUCAGAAAAGGUAGACAGGCCUGCAGAGAAAGCAGAUGGCUCAUCGCACAUCACACAGUGAGUAUGUGGCAAGGUGCGGUCUGGAACGCAGGCUCGGAGCUCAAUGCAGUUUCCACUUCACCCACAAUGAGAAACACCU
This 331-nucleotide long non-coding RNA is filed under the name Homo sapiens (human). Its description in RNAcentral is "non-protein coding lnc-DYNLRB2-3:3". The record is from RNAcentral. Lineage: Eukaryota; Metazoa; Chordata; Mammalia; Primates; Hominidae.